AUUGAACGCUGGCGGCAGGCCUACACCUUCCAAUCGGACGAGCGGCGGACGGGUUAGUACUGUAUGGGGACUGCCCGAUAGAGGGGGAUGACUACUGGCAACGGUAGCUAAUACCGCCUACUAUCGGAUAACCCAUGUGGGAUUAGCUAGUAGGUGGGGUAAUGGCUCACCUAGGCGACGAUCCCUAGCUGGUCUGAGAGGAUGAUCAGCCACACUGGGACUGAGACACGGCCCAGACUCCUACGGAGGCAGCAGUGGGGAAUAUUGCACAAUGGGCGCAAGCCUGAUGCAGCCAUGCCGCGUGUAUGAAGAAGGCCCUAGGGUUGUAAAGUACUUUAAGUCGGGAGGCGUUACCGACAGAAGAAGCACCGGCUAACUCCGUGCCAGCAGCCGCGGUAAUAC
RNAcentral lists this ribosomal RNA (402 nucleotides) under uncultured bacterium. RNAcentral's name for it is "partial 16S ribosomal RNA". It matches the Rfam family "Bacterial small subunit ribosomal RNA", at positions 30 to 526 of the family's 1533-position model. The record is from RNAcentral.